This is an RNA transcript of Triticum urartu, 1464 nucleotides long. It is a transcript of the gene named large ribosomal subunit protein eL6, with no coding region annotated. The record is from RefSeq and is a predicted model, not a curated record. NCBI's taxonomy places the organism in Eukaryota, Viridiplantae, Streptophyta, Magnoliopsida, Poales, Poaceae.
ACACGUAUAAAUGAGCGACCAAAACCCUAGUCCAUUCUUCCCACCGCCGCCUGGCCCGUUGCCGCUCCGCGUCCACCGAAGAAUCACCAAUGGCUCCGAUGUCGAAGAUGGCGCUCGGCAUAAAGCGGGCGUCGAGAUCGCACACCUACCACCGCCGCGGGCUUUGGGCCAUCAAGGCCAAGCACGGCGGCGCCUUCCCCAAGGCCGAGAAGCCGGCCGCCGUCGCCGAGCCCAAGUUCUAUCCCGCUGAUGAUGUCAAGCCACGCACCGUCAGCACACGCAAACCCCAUCCCACCAAGCUCAGAUCGACCAUCACACCGGGCACGGUGCUGAUCCUGCUCGCGGGGAGGUACAUGGGGAAGCGCGUGGUGUUCCUCAAGCAGCUCAAGUCCGGCCUUCUCCUCAUCACUGGACCUUUCAAGAUCAAUGGCGUGCCAAUCCGCAGAGUGAACCAGACUUACGUCAUUGCCACAUCCACAAAGGUCGACAUCUCUAAGGUUAAUGUGCAGAAGUUUGAUGACAAGUACUUUGCUAGGGAGAAGAAGACUAGGGCAAAGAAGACUGAGGGCGAGCUAUUUGAGUCGGAGAAGGAGGCAACCAAGAAUUUGCCAGACUUCAAGAAGGAUGACCAGAAGGUCAUUGAUGCCGAGUUGAUCAAGGCUAUCGUUGCUGUCCCAGACCUUAAAAAUUAUCUUGGUGCCCGGUUCUCUCUCAGGGAUGGUGACAAGCCGCAUGAGAUGACCUUCUAAGUUACCUGGGAAACAAGAACGGAGUUGUAAGUGAGAUAUUUGUUUUGCUUACAUGGACAAGAGAGAUGAACACUGGAGCAAGACCAAGCAUGGAGAUGAUGCCAUGCACAAGGGAAACAAGAACGGAGUUGUAAGUGAUGCUUUCAAGACUUUGAAGCCAUCAUAAGGAGUGCAUAAAGCUUUGGACGAAAUAAACAAGAGGCCACUUCAUAAAUUUCGUCCAGAGGCUGUUCUAGGAAACAGACCUUCGUGGUCAGGUUGAUCAUGCUCCGGCGUGGUCAAUAACCUCUCGGAGUUGGUUUAGCGAUUGCCAAGGCCGGACGUCCUCGCAUGUUCGUAGUCGGAUCAUCAAAGUCGACUUCCUCCAAAACGAUAGCUACCAUCUCAUCGAAAGAUGAGACACUUUUGCCUCUAUCAACUGGGGGAGGUGCAGCCAAGGCUGCUCCUCCAUGCCGUCGUCAGCGAGCUUCACUCUGACCCUGCAUGCGUCCUUUAUGCAGAUGCCACCGACUAUCUCUACCUACUCUGUGGUCGAUGAUGACUUCAGCAUGUAUAGUGCCAAUGAGGUGUAUCAUGAAAGGGAUAGGCAAAAUAAUUGGUUAGUUUUGAUAGUAUACGAUUGUAAUUUUAUAUGAAAAUUUGUAGCGCACAUUAGUUUAUAAUUACGAUAAUGUAGUCAGCAAUCAGGAGAAUGGUGAACGAGGCAGUAGGCAGA